This 6829-nucleotide long non-coding RNA is filed under the name Triticum aestivum (bread wheat). RNAcentral describes it as "long non-coding RNA (TAES_LNC018213)". The record is from RNAcentral. Lineage: Eukaryota; Viridiplantae; Streptophyta; Magnoliopsida; Poales; Poaceae.
CUUCUUCCAGACGAGCAUGCCAACCGCCCAUUUCUCCAAUGCAUCCAUAGAAGCAUCGACACCAAAACAGAUAACGCCUGACCAAACACUGAACCGGCUAGCUACCUCACUCUAGAUGUCUCCUCUCGAAAUCUCCACACCCUUCCCCAUCCCACCAUCCCUCGUUGGAUCUGGUGAGCCAUGGUGAAUGGCGGCAUGCGGAUGGGGAAGCAACAACCUGCAUCGUCAUCGUGGGGACGAGAUCGAUUGGGCAGCGAGGCUGAGGAUGGGAAGAGAGCAGCGCGCAGGUGCGCCUUCUCGCAGGCGGACGAGGCCGGAGGAACUCGCGACGAGCCGGGAGGACAGGGAAAAGGAGGCAGUGAGGCGCAAGCUCGAGGCGUACAAGAUGGACAAACUCGUCAGUAUCGUUAUCAAGUACGACGUCUAGGUAAUAUGCCCGCCCCUCGCUCUAACAAUCCCUAGUGAAUUAGUUUGGCUCCUUCUGAGGUGAAGAAAUUUAUGGUCUCGCAGCAGAACAAGCGAUGGUGAUUUAAAGUUUGGCAUGUUUCGAAAUGACUGAUUUUUAACCGUAGAUAGUAACAAAAAGAAAUUUGAGACUACACCUCGGAAUUAGGAUAGCAAUUUCUUAUCUAGUAUUGCAGUGAUAAUUUCACAACAUUGGAUGCAAAUAUACAUAAACAAGAUAAUAAAUAAAAAUAUCCCACUUACAGUUUAUGGCAUCAUUAGGAAAAACAGAACCUCCUUUUUGUUAUAACAAAAAUGAACUUCGAUGCACUAGUGCUGCAGUACUAAUUUGACUUGACAGUACUGUCAUAUUCCACUACGGACAAUAUCAAUUUCAUUCAGACAUCCUCAAGUUAAGAAAUUUGAAUGGUUAAUUCAUUUCUAACUUAUACAUUUGAAGAGAUUUGGAAAUCAAGUCAUGGUUAGAUUCUCCAGUAGCUGUGAAUGCAUCAUUGACCCUGCGCCACAUGCCAUUGAAUAGCAGAAUUUCAGAGUUCAUCUUACCCCAAUGACAUUUGAUUUGGAUGCGUUGUCUUCUGCGAUUAUCAGCAAUAUUUGCGUUAAAUUCUUCAAUGACUUGAAACCAGUAAUCCUCGACACCGCUUUCAUUGCCAACAAAAACCAGUGGGAACAUUUAACCAAGCAUUUACCUGCUCAAUUUAUAAAAUAUUGUUAGGCCAACCUUUUCAUGAUAUAGUAACUAUUGAUUAUUAAACAAAUGAGUUAUGACGCAUAGAUUAUCCUCUUCGCUCCGUUGUAAGUGUAUGUCUUCAAUAUUGGCAUUGACGAUAACCAUUUGCUGGAACUAAAUUGGACUACUAUCAUGGGGGUGAAGUAUGUGCAACAAGUAGAGUAUUUGUAGGUUCAAGUAAAUGUUGAAUUAUUAAUUAUUACUAAUGCAUGCAUAAUUUAGUGGUCACUCUUGCUUUGACUGGCAGAGAACUUGUAUUAUAAAAUAGAAAAAUCUCAAAUUACAUGAUACAUUGGCAUUCUAGUAUCGAUGUAUGUAACAAAGUAAAGAAUUUUUUCUACAUAAUAAAGUAAAUGGGAAAGGUAAUUGAAGUGAUAUAUUAAAAAUGAAAAUAACAUUCUAAAAUGUUUCAUGAUUGUUUUAGUUUCCUUCAAAUAGUUGUCCACUAAAAAUAUUUAGUGCCCAUUGGUGUUCACUCUUUUCAUAUUCAUCCAUAUGAGAGGCAUCGACCAUUAUGAGUUCCUUGUUGUUACUAGACAUUUUGAUCAUCUCUCUUGUCUUGUCAAUCUCAAGCUUCUCUUUGGAGAGUCGAAGCUGCACCUCUGUCAUUUUUUCUUGCGUGGAUGCUCGUAAUGCUUUCAUGUGAUGGUAUAAUUGAACAUUUUUUGUGUGUAAGUGUUACAAAAGAGUUGUCAUCUUCGACUUUUCCUUUAUUUUUCCUUUCGCCCAUUUGGUUCCACCUGGGAGAGUUUCUUUUUCCAUCUGAGUUUGUAUGUUAGCAUUACCUUUGCCUUUUCCCUCCUUGCAGUGUCUAGUCUACUUCUGGUGGACUCUAACCUUCUCCCACCGGUACAAUAGUGUAAAUUUUUAUCCUAUCUCCUUGUAUCUGGCUAGUGUUUUCUGGACAAGCUGCAAGUCACAUUGACCACUCGGAUGGGCAUCUUUUAGCCUCCAAUAAACUCAAUGAAAAGCAACAACUUUCCUAUUAGUUUUACCCCAAUGGUCCUUGAAGUUUUUGUUGUUUCUCCUCCGGUGGACGAACUGUUUUUGUUGUAGUCAUCUGUUACAUUCUUCUAGUACACCUCUCCCUUUUUGUUAUUUCCAACAAUAGAGUCUAUGGACUUAUUAAACCAAGUACUUAUGUGCAAUAAAAAAAUUUAUAUUCCUAAAUGUUUCUUGAAUAAAAAUAUUGAACUUCUUAAAUAUGGAAAUAAUGGAGUUAUUCUACGAAGCGUUAAUGUGCAUGAAAAUUUAUUAUAUUUAUACAAGUUUGUUAAAAAUAUAUGUGUGUACAAAUUACUGGAAGGAAAAAAAUAUGUGUCUACUAGUUACUUGAAGGAAAAAAAUAAAAUGUUCUAAAUAUUAAAAUGAUGUAAUUACUUAAUCAACUGCCAAUGAGCGAUAGCAUUCAUUGUAUUUCUAUUUGUUCCUAAAAUAAAAAAUGUGGAAUAGAUGGAUUUUUUUCUAGUGAAGCAUUAACAUUAAUAAGAUUUUAUUACCAAUGGCUUUAUGAUAAAUAAAAGUUUAUUCCCACAUGUUUAAAAAACUAUAGCAAUAAAAAUACUUGAUGGCUACUCACCAGUUUAAUGUUGUCCUCCUUGUCCUCCUUGGUCGAAGCUAGACGCCGACCUCGGCUAUCUUCUUCAUUGUUGUCGUCUUGGUCACUGGUACCAUUGUGUUGAAUACUCAGAGCAUAACCAUAGUCGCAAUGUCCACUAGAAUCAAAUUGUUGGGACAUAUGUGGUUGGGAAGACAAAUUUAUUGGAUAAUUAGGAGGUGGAUACAUCUCUGGAUUUUCAUACUAGAAGCUAGCAAAAGCGAACCAGUCGUUCUGAAAGGGAUUCAUUGGAAAACCGUGAUGUGUAUGAACAAAAAAUUGUGUGAGAUAUGCAAGGAUUGUGUUGUGUAUGAGCAGAUAAUUUUGGGACAUGCAUACAACUGGAACAUGCAAGUAGGAAUAUAUAUAUAGCAAUAUAGUUUCGCUCCAUGCUUUAGUUAGUCCGAUUUAGCUGUGUAUGACCGAACGAAUGGUUGAAGUAACUUGACAUACCUUGUUUUUAACUUCGUACUCACCAUGCUUUAAGGUUUGAAGAUUGCGAUUUUCGUCCCUAUUGACCCAGCUUGGCAUUCACAUGCAUUUCAUUUUUAAACAUUCAUUUUUUAUCAAUUCAGGUUUUUAUAGAAUAUUGUUGUGCGUGAAGAGAAAAGAAACAAAUCAUUAUGUCUACCUGCGAAAGGAAAUCGGCUGAGUUGUUGAGUAAAGCUUGUCUAGUUCAGCGAUCAUCUGAGCACAGAUUGGAGCGGAGAGAGGUUGUCGCAAAAAAAAGAGCCGAAGCACCCCGCCACAAGCUCCGCGUCCAUGCCAACCCAAAUCCUGGGAUCGGGCCUGAUCCCAGGAUUUGGGUUGGCAUCGAUGUCGAGCCUGUCGCGGGGCGCUCCGCCUCUUUUCUUUGCGCCAGCCUUUUUCUCCGCUCCAAUCUGGCAGCGAGCGUUACCUGGAGCUCUACAAAUCAGUAAGUCUCGUAAACUGCUCAACUAUACCAGCUCUACUCAAGUAACUCGGUUGAUUUCUUUGGCAGCUAGACAUAAAGAUCGGUUUCUUUUCUCUUCACACACAACAAUAUUCUAUAAUAAAUAUAGAGCUUGUUUAUUUAUUUUAAUUCUCCAUGACACCUGAAUACUUAGAUAAAACUGAAUUGAUAAAAAGUAAAUGUUUAAAAAUAAAAUGCAUGUGAAUGCCAAGCUGGGUCACUAGGGACAAAAAUCACAAUCUUCAAACCUGAAAGCACGGUGAGUAUGAAGUUAGGAAAAAAAGUAUGUCAAGUUACUUCAACCAUUUGUUCAAUCAUACACGGCUAAAUCGGACUAACUAAAUCAUGCAUGCAGUCAAGCUAUCUCACUAUAUAUAUUCCAACUUGCAGGUUCGAGUGGUAUGCACAUCCCAAAAUUAUCUGCUCAUACACAACACAAUUCUACUCAUAUCUCACACAAGUUUUUGUUCAUACAGAUCACGGUUUUCCAACGAAUCCCUUCCAGAACGACAGGUUCGCUUCCGCUAACUCCCAGUAUGAAAAUCCAGAGAUGUGUCCACCUCCUAAUUAUCCAAUAAAUUUGUCUUCGCAACCACAUAUGUCCAAACAAUUUGAUUCUAGUGGAUAUUGUGACUAUGGUUAUGCUCUAAGUAUGCAACACAAUGCUACCGAUGGCCAAAACGACGACGAUGAUGAAGAUAGCCGAGGCUGGUGUCUAGCUUCGACCGAGGAGGACAACAUCAGACUGGUGACUAGUCAUCAAGUAUUUUUAUUGUUAUAGUUUUUAAACAUGUGAAAAUAAGUUUUAUUUAUCACAAAGCCAUUGGUAAUAAAAUCUUAUUAAUAUAAGCGCUUCAUUAAAAAAAUAUCUAUUCCAGACUUUUUUAUUUUAGGAACAAGUAGAAAGACAAUGAAUGCUAUCGCUCAUUCGCACUUGAUUAAGUAAUUCCAUCGAUUCAAUAUUUAGAACAUUUUUUCCUUCAAGUAAAUAGUAGACAUAUAUUUUUUUCUCGUUCUAGUAACUUGUACACACACAUAUUUUUAACGAACUUGUAGAAAUAUAAUCAAUUUUCACCCACAUUAACGCUUGGUAGAAUAACUCCAUUAUUUCCAUAUUUAAGAAUUUCAGUUUUUUUAUUCCAGAUAAUUUCUUGGUUGAAUAACUCCAUAGACUCCAUUGAUGGAAAUAAAAAAAGGGAGAGGUGUACUGGAGGAAUGUAACGGAUGACUACAACAAAAACAGUUCGUCCACCGGAGAGAAACAACAAAAACUGCAAGGACCAUUGGGGUAAAACUAAUAAGAAAGUUGGUGUUUUCAUUGAGUUUAUUGCAGGCUAAAAGAUGCCCAUGCGAGAGGGCAAUGUGACUUGCAGCUUGUCCAGAAAGCCCUAGCCAUGUACAAGGGGAUAGGACAAAACUUUAAACUAUUGUACUGGUGGGAGAAGGUUGGAGUACACCAAAAGUUGAGUAGACACUCCGAGGAGGAAAAAGGCAAAGGUAAUGCUUACAUACAAACUCAGAUGGGAAAAGAAACUCGCCCGAUCGAACCAAACUGGUGAAAGGAAAAGAGAAAGAAAAGGUCGAAGAUGACGACUCUUUCGUAACACUUACACACGAUGAUGUUCAAUUAUACCAUGACACACAAGCAUUACGAGUAUCGUCGCAAGAAAAAAUGGCAGAGGUACAGCUUCGACUCUCCAAAGAGAAGCUUGAGAUUGGCAAGACAAGAGAGAAGAUCAAAAUGUCUAGUACCUAUAAGGAACUCAUAAUGGUCGGUACCUCUCAUAUGGAUGAAUAUCAAAAGAGUGAACAUCAAUGGACACUAAAAAAAUUUAGUGACCAACUAUUUGGAGGAAACUAAAACAAUCAUAAAUCAUUUUAGCAUAUUAUUUUGAUUUUUUAAUGUGUCACUUUAAUUACCUUUUCCAUUUACUUUAUUGUGUAGAAAAAAUGGUUUACUUUGUUACAUACAUUGGUACUAGAAUACCUAUGUAUCAUGUAAUUUGAGAUUUUUUUAUUCAAUAAUACAGGUUCUCUACCAGUCAAAGCAACAAUGACCACUCAAUUAUUCAUGCAUUAGUAGUAAUUAAUAAUUCAACAUUUACUUGAACCUAUAAAUACUCUACUCUGUUGCACAUUUCACCCCACAUGCAGUAGCCCAAUUUAGUUCCAACUAAUGGAUAUAGGCAAUGCCAACAUCGGAGUCAUACACUUACAAUGAGCAAAGAGAAUAGUCUAUGCCGGUAAGUCAUUUAUUCAAUUAUCAAUAGUUACUAUAUCACAAAAAGGUUGGCCUAACACCAUUUUAUGAAUUGGGCAGGUAAAUGCUUGGUUAAAUGUUCCCACUGAUUUUGUUGUUGUCAACGAAAAUGGUGCCCGGGAUUACUGGUUUCAAGUCGCUGGAGAAUUUAACGCAAUUAUUGCCGAUAAUCGCGGAACACAACCUAUCCAAAUCAAACGUCAUUGGGGUAAGAUGAACUCUGAAAUUCUGCUAUUUGAUGGCAUGUGAUGAACUCUGAAAUUCUACUAUUUGAUGGCAUGUGGCGCAGGGUCAACGAUGCAUUCACCGCUACUGGACAAUCUAACCAGGACUUGAUUUCAAAUCUCUUCAAAUGUAUAAGUUAGAAAUGAAUCGACCAUUCAAAUUUCUUAACUUGUGGAUGUCUGUAUGAAAUUGUCCCCAGUGGAAGAAGACGUACUGUCAAGUCAAAUUAGUACUAUAGCAUUAGUGCGUCAAAGUUCAGUUUUGUUCUAAUAAAACAGAGGUUCUAUUUUUCCUAAUGAUGCCAUAAACUAUAAGUGGGAUAAUUUUGAUUAAUUUUCUUGUUUAUGUAUAUUUGCAUCUAGUGUGCAAUUGUGAAAUUAUCACUGCAAUACUAGAUAAGAAAGUGACAUCCUAAUUCUGAACUAUAGUCCCUAAUUUCCUUUUGUUACUAUCUAAAAUUAAAGAUCAGUCAUUUGAAACAUGUCAAAACUUUAGACCACCAUCUCUUGUUCUUCGGCAAUACCAUAAAUUUCCUUCAUAGAACUAUUGUUGUAUCAAUUCGACAAGAAAAGGCACAAACAUAUCACAGCUAAUUCACCAGGGAUUAUUAGAGCGACG